AUUGAACGCUGGCGGCAGGCCUAACACAUGCAAGUCGAGCGGAUGAAGGGAGCUUGCUCCUGGAUUCAGCGGCGGACGGGUGAGUAAUGCCUAGGAAUCUGCCUGGUAGUGGGGGAUAACGUCCGGAAACGGGCGCUAAUACCGCAUACGUCCUGAGGGAGAAAGUGGGGGAUCUUCGGACCUCACGCUAUCAGAUGAGCCUAGGUCGGAUUAGCUAGUUGGUGGGGUAAAGGCCUACCAAGGCGACGAUCCGUAACUGGUCUGAGAGGAUGAUCAGUCACACUGGAACUGAGACACGGUCCAGACUCCUACGGGAGGCAGCAGUGGGGAAUAUUGGACAAUGGGCGAAAGCCUGAUCCAGCCAUGCCGCGUGUGUGAAGAAGGUCUUCGGGUUGUAAAGCACUUUAAGUUGGGAGGAAGGGCAGUAAGUUAAUACCCUGCUGUUUUGACGUUACCAACAGAAUAAGCACCGGCUAACUUCGUG
This 484-nucleotide ribosomal RNA is filed under the name uncultured bacterium. Its description in RNAcentral is "partial 16S ribosomal RNA". It matches the Rfam family "Bacterial small subunit ribosomal RNA", at positions 30 to 507 of the family's 1533-position model. The record is from RNAcentral.